This 107-nucleotide small nuclear RNA is filed under the name Aotus nancymaae (Ma's night monkey). The record is from RNAcentral. Lineage: Eukaryota; Metazoa; Chordata; Mammalia; Primates; Aotidae.
GUGCUCACUUUGGCAGCACAUGUACUAAAAUUGGAAUGAUACAGAAAAGAUUAGCAUGGCCCCUGCACAAGGAUGACAUGCAAAUUCAGGAAGCAUUUCACAUUUUU